GUGCUCACUUCCACAGCACAUAUACUAAAGUUGGAACAAUACAGAGAAGAUUAGCAUGGCCUCUGGGCAAGGAAGACACAACUUUAUUAAGUGUUCCAUAUUUUU
Small nuclear RNA from Sciurus vulgaris (Eurasian red squirrel), 105 nucleotides. NCBI's taxonomy places the organism in Eukaryota, Metazoa, Chordata, Mammalia, Rodentia, Sciuridae. The record is from Ensembl.